This 292-nucleotide long non-coding RNA is filed under the name Gossypium barbadense (sea-island cotton). RNAcentral describes it as "long non-coding RNA (GBAR_LNC010753)". Lineage: Eukaryota; Viridiplantae; Streptophyta; Magnoliopsida; Malvales; Malvaceae. The record is from RNAcentral.
GGGUAAGCAUUUUCAUGCUUAGAAAGCUCGAAUAACCGAAAAGUAAACUUACUGAGUAAUUAGCAUACAUCCACACUUAUAUCAUGAAAUCAUCAAUUAUGAAAUGAUUUCCUAUCACAUGCACUAAAUCAAUAAGUUAGUCACAUAGAAAAACAUCAUGUAAUUUAUGUAGGUGAGCUCACCAUUCAUCAUCUUAUUGACAUACAUCAUAUUAAUCCCAUUGAGUUUCUAGGAAAUCUCGAUGGAAUACCCAUUAUCCGUCAAUUCUUACGAAUGAUCAUUUCACAUAUAU